RNAcentral lists this long non-coding RNA (6853 nucleotides) under Nicotiana benthamiana. Its description in RNAcentral is "long non-coding RNA (NBEN_LNC027578)". The record is from RNAcentral. Lineage: Eukaryota; Viridiplantae; Streptophyta; Magnoliopsida; Solanales; Solanaceae.
UUAUGAUGAAGCACGAGUGCUCUCUUUUUACCUCAUUCACUCUCGUUCUUUGCUAUUUUUUCUUCCUUUUCCUUGGCGAUGUAAAUUGCUCGGGAAAAUUUUGUUAUACCUUCAUUCGUGGAUUUUUAAUCGGUCAAACUUUAUUCAUUGUUUCUAGGUGAGUUCUCCUUCAUUGUUUGCUUGUUGGUUAAAUUUUUUUCUCUAUAGUGGCUCUCUGAAUCUUUUUCUUAUCUGCUUAUUUCAUUGUACUUUUGUUUGUUUCUGCUUACUUCCCUGCUUCCCUAAGUAUUGCAUGUAGUUUGAUAGCUAAUUUUUUUUUUAAGAAUUUGAGAAAAGUUAACCUAGGUUUAGAAAUUGGGGGUUUGAGCAUUUCAAUUAAACUUUCGUCUCAAAACUAAAAGGCCAUCAUAUUGAAAUUGUUGAUAAAGGUCUAAUUCAUGACGUAACUAGUUUGGUUACAAUCUAGGUGAAGUAUCAAUGUGUUGUAUUUUAACCUUUCAAAGGUGAGAUUUUGGAAGCAAUAGUUACCAUGGCUGACAAUAUAAGAAAAUUUCUUGCAUUUAAGAAAGUUAUAAUAUUUUCUUUACUAUCUAUGUUCUUUAUUCAAUGUAGAUAGUAUUUUUCCUUGAAGCAAGGCAUGUUCAGUUUCAGUCAUUGGUAUUGUCCUAAAGAAGCUAAGAUCUUUAUAUGUUUUCACUUAGUGUGGUUCUUAUCCGUUUCACCUUAUACUUCAGUACGGUUUCAAUUAUCGCCAGUAUUUCUUACCAGUUAUUGAAUAAAGAAGUUCAAAGUUGCGACUAGACAACGAUUCUAUAUGCUUGAGAAUUGCACAAUUCUGCUAAACUUGAAUAUUUAUGUUAGUUCCCUCUGAUUGAGGCGGAUCAAUUGGUUGGACGUACCCUUGUGUAAGUUUUUAAGAUUCACGAAAUUCAUAUUUAUUGACUUCUUAGACUUGGCAGGGUAAGACUUUUUACUUCUAUAUCAUGUGAGCAUUGCCUCUCUUUGAGAUUAAACUAUCUUAAUGGUUGUUUAGGAGAGUAAGCUUUUAAGUAUUUUCUUUUGGAAAGUUCUUAAAUUUUAUAAACUGAAAUGUUAGGAGAGGAAUAGCCAUUUGAUAUUUUCUUUUUUUUUAAGCACCACUAGGCAAGAGCAUAGGGUUAGGUUUUUAUUAAUAGCAAACAAGAAAAUACAACAGAUAGGAAAAGUACAAAUAAGGGGGCAUUAGCACCGGUAAUGUUACCCAUAUAACAUACCAGGCUAAACUUACCUUACUAAAUCCUAUUGAGGCUUGACAACCUCACUUAUUAACAGGAAAGCAAAACUACGAACUUGACAGGACCAGAAUUUUUAUGAUCAUCACAGAGUUUGUAAAUACUCUGUGAUGAGAUACUUAUUAACAGAAAUGCAACAUUACGAACUUGACAGGACCAGAUUUUUUAUGAUCAUCACAGAGUUUGUAACAUACUCUGUGAUGAGAUUACAAAUGAGUAUACUAACAAAGUGGUAGGUUAAAAUGAUGAAAAAAUUACACUGAUGUCCCUUUUUUGUCGAUCCUUGCAAUUUCUUCAAUUUGUAAUUCUUUAUCAACCCAUUCUUCAUGAAGUAUUUAAAAUUCGUGAUUUCUUUUUAGAUUGAUUGGAUUUUGUUGAAGUAGUUGGGGCGGCCUGCUUAAGCUUGGCAUUUCUCAUCGAAGGUCGUCUAACAUUGUCGUUCCUGCUCUUUUCCUUUGUUUGAGACUUUAGUUCCUUUGAAGCGUUAAUUUGGACUGUUUCAAUGCAUUGUGGUAGCACUUCAAUUAAGUCACCUUCUUCUGUUGCCCGAUCAAUGAUUUGGCAUGUGUAAAACACCUUGUACAUCCAAGUUUGGUACAUCUUGAGAUUUAAUAUCACUUUGCUUGACUUGUUGUUGUACCUCAUUCCUGCUGCUAUUUGCACGUUUAGCGCUACAAGGAUCACGACCCAAAAAUUCAAGGGAUGUGCAUUUAGCAUUGCAUCCAACACUUGUUUAUCAUGGGAUAAAAAAUCUUUUGUACUGUCAUCCUUAUUGGUUUCUGCCCAGAAUUGACAAGAAGCUGUGAAUUACUACAGGAUCCUACUUCCUCCGGUGUGCUCAAUUCUUCAUUACUUUCAUAUCCUCGUUUGUCACCGGCUCGAGACUCAAAAUUUCAAAGGGAUGUGCAUUUAGCAUUGCAUCCAACAGUUGUUUAUCAUGGGAUAUAAAAUCUGUUGUAUUGGUCAUCCUUAUUGGUUUCUUCCCAGAAUUGACAAGAAGCUGUGAAUUACUAGAGGAUCCUACUUCUUUCGGUGAGGCGAUUCUUCAUUACUUUCAUAACCUCGAUCUUCACUGGCUCGAGAUCCCACACUGUCCAUAGAAUCCAAUAGUCUUCUCUCUUCUGCAGAAAAGAUUGUACUUCUUUCCUUGGCCAUUUGCAAUUUGUCUCCAGUGAAGAUUCCCUCGUUAAUAUUGAAGUUUGAAAGUGCAGCAAAAGAGUUUAAGUUUGUAUGAAUAACUGGAUUCUUGUCAGCGAUAUGCAUUUUGUUUUUGGAUUUUGGAGAUGCUUUUCUGUUGGACAUCGAUAAGCAGUUGUUUGCAUCAGCUUCAGUAGCAUCCGUAGGCUGUAAAUCCAAACCUCUUUGAAAUAAGGCUUUAUGAUAAACUGCACCUGUUGCAUCUGUCGAAGAGACAUCCGUAGGCUGUAAAUCCAAACCUCUUUGAAAUAAGGCUUUAUGAUAAACUGCACCUGUUGCAUCUGUCAAAGAGAUCUCGCUGCCUUGUUGAACCAUAUCUGGCCGAUGAGAUAUAUCUUGACGAUAUGUGGUCUGCCCAAUCUCAUUUUCUGUAGGACUUGCUGAUAUUUGAGCUAAUUGACUCACAAAAUCAAGAUUAUCAUUUGUAGAUAUAGCUCGAACAUCAAGACCUUGCAGAGGCAGUAUACAAUCCAGUUCUGAAUAAAUAGCAAUUGCAGCGUGUGAUUCAUUAUCUACUGUCCUGUUGGUUUUGUUAUUGCCCUUUGCAGCAACAUCUUUUUUGGUAUGCUCAGAAUUAACCAAAACAGAUGCUUUAUUCUGUUCUUUUUGUUGUUGUUGUCCAAACUUUUUUGAAUCAUCAAGUACAUUUGUUAUUGUCGACUUCCCCCCCUGAUUGAACUGCCAGAACAUUGUGAUCUGUAAAAGAUCUGAUGUUAUCCGAGGCCUCUAAAUUAGUUCCAUUUGUUUGAUCAAGCAGUGUUGUGUUUUUAUUGUUGGAAUUCUGCUAUAUCUGUUGUUGCUCGAUUAGCUUCUCUUCAUUGCUUUUAACAUUGUCAUUUCCUGGCACAGUAGAUAGAUCACUAGGUUCCAAAUUUGAAACCUUCUUUUCAUUUACAGCAUUAAAAGGCAACUUCGAUGGAACAUUAGCUUGCACUUUACAACAAUGUGCAGAAUCACCCUUUGACCUUAGAAGGGCUUCUGCAGUUGUACCAUUUGUAUGAGAAACCAUUUUUUGGGCUCAUAACUGCUGCACAUUGCAUCUGUGAUGCUGACCAUCAAGAUCAACCCACUGCCCAGUCUGUGCAGUAGAAGUAGUAUGAUCUGCAGUAGUCUGCAUUGCCUCUGCAGUAGUCACAUAUGUUCUUUGCAUAAAUAGUAGAGGCAGGUACAUCUCGAGAAGGUUUAGGGGGUCUUUUAUCCAACUUCAAUACCGCCUCCAUAUUCUCAACUGGAACUGCUGCAUGUGGUGCAUCUGUUACUCCAGCAAUCCCAGCACUCCUAGCCACUAUAUGUUGAUUUGCUUCACCCCUAUCAUUCCCAGUAGGUUGUGUAGCCUUAGAAUUAGCAGUCUUUUUCGUACCAUCCUUUACAAUACCAUGUUGUACUGCUGAACUUCACCCCUAUCAUUCCCAUUAGGUAGUGUAAUCUUAGAAUUUUUCGUACCAUCCUUUACACUACCAUGAUGUACUGCUGAAUCAGUUGGACCAACACCUUCCUUGAAGGCUGCAUUAUUUUCCACAUUCACACCUUCUUGUCCAGCUCUUAGCACAUUGGACUUGUAUUGCUGACCUUUCUCCACUGGUUCAGCUGAUAUAACAGUUGGAUCUCUAUUAACAUUAAAAGAAACAGAAUUCUCCAAGUAAGUACCAUUUCCUUGGCCAGGUAAUGUACUCUUAGGAUUGUUAUUAUUCUGUACCAAAAGCUGCUGCUCGAUUGUUUUAUCCUGCAUACAGACAUCUACCACAAUCUGGACAGACCUUUUUGCACUGUCACCUGAUGCUACAGAAAAUGCAGCAGUAGGUUUCCAAUUAGACACCACCAUAUCUGAAUGUUUUUCACUUAAAAUAUUCAAAGGAGUAUGUAAUGGAACAGUAUUUGGCCAUUUGGACCUUUUUGCAGUGUCUCCUGAUGCUACAGAAGAUGCAGCAGUAGGUUUCAAAUUAGACACCACCAUAUCUGAUUGUUUUUCACUUAAAAUAUUCAAAGAAGUAUGUAAUGGAACAGUAUUUGGCCAUUUACAAAUCUGCACCCCGACACCAUUUGUCCUUGGAAGAGCUUUAGCAGUUUGAAGACUUGAGUCCGAAACAUUUGUUUGUCUUGCAUCAUGAAUCACAUUAGGAAGUGUCCUUUCUCUUCGACGUCCUGCAAGAUGAGCAUUCAAAUAAUCCCUGGCAUCACCUUCUAAUUUAGCGACACUGCCCCUACCUUCAGAUUCAGCACCAUGAAUUGCUUUUUCAUUGUGUUCCUCUGUAAUCCAGCGACAUAAUUUUACAUUAUAUCCUUGAUGAUUACAAUACGUGCAGUAUUCAGGAACUUUAUCAAACACGAUCUGCUGGUCGUAUUCUGCAAUUUUUCCAGAUUUCGAAUCUACUAUCUUGAUCUGUAUUUUCUUUGGAUGUUUGUUCAGUAAAUUAAUCAAGACUUUAACUUGGGCCGUACUAGGUCGCGUUCGAUCUUUGGUAGCCUUAUCUACUGCAAUUGGCAUUCCUAUUGCAGAUGCAAUGGACAUUAAGGAUUUUUUGGCGAACAGAUUUGCUGGCAGAUCGGGAAAGGAAAUCCAAGCCNNNNNNNNNNNNNNNNNNNNNNNNNNNNNNAUGUAGCCUUAUCUAGUGUAAGAGGCUUUCCCACAGUAGAUGCAAUGGACAUUAAGGAUUUUUUUGCGAAGACAUUUGCUGGCAGAUCAGGAAAUGAAAUCCAAACCAUAACUUUUGACGUUUCUUCACGGGGAUUAAAUCCCAUUGUCCAUGGGAAUGUCCUAAAGAGGAAGUCAUCUCCUUUUGCCUUAAUAAAGCCAGUUGUUGAUACCACCUGAGCAUAAUCUUCAAACAGAUCAAAUCUUACCAGAAUGUGCCGAUAUUCUAGAUGCCCAAUGUUGCAAUUACCUUUGACACCGAGUGGCUUCGGCAAAAUCUGCCUCAUCUCCUGCAGAUCAGGUUUCCCAUAUGAAAAUUUGAUUAUUACUGCUUGAUGAAGACCUUCCUCCUUAGUGAAAGAAUUCACUUCAUCCACUCUGAAUUCAACAGUAGGAACUCCAUGGUUAAACGUUACUGGGCAAAAUUCCGGCUUUGGAUUUGUUGCAGCAGAUUUAUGACCAGAAAGAAACGAUGCAUAUGACUGCUUGGAUCCUUGAAUAAUUCGAUUUUCUGAUAUAUUUUGAGAAGCCUCUCCCACAGCACAAGGCUGGGGAGAGGGUGUCGCAUCCAUGGAAACUUGAACAGUUCAAUUUUCCGAUAUGUUUUGAGAAGCCUCUCCCACAGCAUAAGGCUGGGGAGAGGGCAUCCCUUCCAUGGUUGUCUCAAAACUCAAACAGAAUUCAUUACAUUUAUGCUAUCGGAAAGAUAUGGUGCUGGAAAAUUCAAAUGAUGAGGAAGCUACAGUAAAUCGUAAAUUAAGAUUUAAGAUGUAGGAAAAUUGGUUAUAGAUUUGAUGAAAAACUCAAUUGGGGAUUGUUCGCAAAGAGAAGGGGAUUUUGUGACACCAAUUUUGGGAUAAUCCACCACCGAAUUCCGGCGAUAUGUCCGAUGAAUAGUGACGGAUUCACUAUUCACAGAGAGAGAGAGUCACUAUUCACUGGAUCUUGUGACACCAAUUUUGGGACAAUCCACCACCCAAUUCCGGCGUUAUGUCCGAUGAAUAGUGACAGAUUCACUAUUCAUAGAGAGAGACUCACUAUUCACAGAGUAUAUAUUGUGAGGAAAUUUAGCCAUUUGAUAUUUUCACGUUACAGUUUGAAUACUCCAGUAUUAAUGGUUAUGUGUUGCUACUUAUUUUUUUUAAAAAAGUUGUGUGCUGCAUUAUGAAUUACAAAGCUCAAAACCCAAAAAAUAUAAUAUGAAUAUGUUCCUAAACAUGACUCUCUUUCUGUGAAUAGUGAAUCCGUCACUAUUCAUCGGACAUAUCGCCAGAAUUCGGUGGUGCAUUGUCCCAAAAUUGGUGUCACAAGAUCCCCUUCUCUUUGCGAACAAUCCCCAAUUAAAUAUAUGCAUAGGUUUUUCUGGAGUCUGGUUCUAGCCUCAUCACUACCUCGCCGGGGUUAGGCCAGACACUUGCCAGCACAUGGGGUUGGUUGUGCUGAUGCUAAACUCUGUGUGCUCUUUUAUACAGAUCCAAGUGCCGGAGCAGCUUAUGGUGCGCAGCAGUAGCCGUGGAGCAGUCCUUCAAUCCAAGAGCUUUCCGAGGUAGUCAUGCAGGCGUCCACAGGCCCGUAAUCUAUUUUACCUUUUCUACCAUGUUUCUCUUGUACAGAGACAGAGUUUAUUUAUGUUAUUUUAGACCUUUGUGUUUAGCAUUCUUAGAUGGUCCGUGAAAUGUUUUGACAUCAGGUGCUGGGUAGAGAUUGUAUUGAUGUUUUAGAUGAUGUUUUCAUAUUUAGUUUAGACUUCCGC